AGAGUUUGAUCAUGGCUCAGAAUCAACGCUGGCGGCGUGCCUCAGACAUGCAAGUCGAACGAUUAAAGCUCUCUUCGGAGAGUGUAUAGAGUGGCGCACGGGUGAGUAACACGUAAGUAAUCUACCUUCGAGUGGGGAAUAACGUCCGGAAACGGACGCUAAUACCGCAUAAUGCAGCGGCAUCGCAAGAUGACAGUUGUUAAAGAUUUAUCGCUUGAAGAGGAGCUUGCGGCAGAUUAGCUAGUUGGUAAGGUAAUGGCUUACCAAGGCUACGAUCUGUAACCGGUCUAAGAGGACGGUCGGUCACACUGACACUGAAUAACGGGUCAGACUCCUACGGGAGGCAGCAGUCGGGAAUUUUGGGCAAUGGGCGAAAGCCUGACCCAGCAACGCCGCGUGAAGGAUGAAGUAUUUCGGUAUGUAAACUUCGAAAGAAUGGGAAGAAUAAAUGACGGUAC
Molecule: ribosomal RNA, 458 nt
Filed under: uncultured Acidobacteriaceae bacterium
Lineage: Bacteria; Pseudomonadati; Acidobacteriota; Terriglobia; Terriglobales; Acidobacteriaceae
Description: bacterial SSU rRNA
Rfam family: Bacterial small subunit ribosomal RNA
Source: RNAcentral